GAUGGAAGAACGCAGCGAAAUGCGAUAAGUAAUGUGAAUUGCAGAAUUCAGUGAAUCAUCGAAUCUUUGAACGCACAUUGCGCCCGCUAGUAUUCUGGCGGGCAUGCCUGUCCGAGCGUCAUUUCAACCCUCAAGCCCCCGGGCUUGGUGUUGGGGAUCGGCGAGCCUCCGCGCCCGCCGUCCCCUAAAUCUAGUGGCGGUCUCGCUGUAGCUUCCUCUGCGUAGUAGCACACCUCGCACUGGGAAACAGCGCGGCCACGCCGUUAAACCCCCAACUUCUGAACGUUUGACCUCGGAUCAGGUAGGAAUACCCGCUGAACUUAAGCAUAUCAAUAAGCGGAGGA
RNAcentral lists this unclassified non-coding RNA (344 nucleotides) under soil metagenome. RNAcentral's name for it is "partial contains 5.8S ribosomal RNA, internal transcribed spacer 2, and large subunit ribosomal RNA". The stretch from base 5 to 121 matches the Rfam family "5.8S ribosomal RNA", at positions 38 to 154 of the family's 154-position model. The record is from RNAcentral.